GAUACAGGUGCUGCAUGGCUGUCGUCAGCUCGUGUCGUGAGAUGUUGGGUUAAGUCCCGCAACGAGCGCAACCCUUUUCCUUAUUUGCCAGCACUUCGGGUGGGAACUUUAAGGAUACUGCCAGUGACAAACUGGAGGAAGGCGGGGACGACGUCAAGUCAUCAUGGCCCUUACGGCCAGGGCUACACACGUGCUACAAUGGUCGGUACAAAGGGUUGCUACACAGCGAUGUGAU
Molecule: ribosomal RNA, 235 nt
Filed under: Acinetobacter radioresistens WC-A-157
Lineage: Bacteria; Pseudomonadati; Pseudomonadota; Gammaproteobacteria; Moraxellales; Moraxellaceae
Description: partial 16S ribosomal RNA
Rfam family: Bacterial small subunit ribosomal RNA
Source: RNAcentral